RNAcentral lists this long non-coding RNA (860 nucleotides) under Phoenix dactylifera (date palm). Its description in RNAcentral is "long non-coding RNA (PDAC_LNC015613)". Lineage: Eukaryota; Viridiplantae; Streptophyta; Magnoliopsida; Arecales; Arecaceae. The record is from RNAcentral.
UCUUAGGUCACAGACAUCUUGGUAUACAAAUUUGCCCAUUUAAGGGUACAUUUCAUUAUCAAUUGUUCUUAGCACCAUGUGUAGAGUUUCCAUCGCCUUGACCACCUUAGUGUAUCUAUCAUAGAAGUGUGAGCUCAAGAUAACUGUCUCAAUUCUACUUUGUUCUUGCUACCUGUUUUACUUGGAAUGCAUCCAUUCAUUCGAAGUAAACAUCGGCUUAGACUAUCUUCUCAAGGAGGCUAUUCAAGGCUAUAUAAUUAGUAGCAAACCAGGCCACGCUGGGCCUCAUCAGCUCCCUGUGUACAUGUGACCUCAUAAUGCUAGCACCUCCAGCCUCCAGGUUUGAUUGUAGACAUAUUUGGAUACUGCUUCCCCACUCUCCAUAGUUGACUUCCCUUGAUGGCAAGUCACAGAUAUCCUUCAGCAUGAGGUCUUUGCAGUAUUCUGCACAUGGAGUCUAUUGCAAAUGUGGUUCCAUCUAGUCUGUUGCCUUCUUAUACUAUAGAGUAUAGGCCAUUGUUUUUAAUAACUUGGAAAACAUCUUCUCACUGAUCUCCUCAAUGCAAUCCCCCUUACGAUCUAUAAUCUAAUUGGAGCCAUGAACCUAUUAGACGUAUCGACUGAUUUUAUGAAGAAAGCGCCUCAGGAAAUUGAUGGUGCUUCUCCUAGUUAGCCCAAACCAGCCAUCGCAUUAGUUUAUCCCCAUACAGAUCUUGUAUCCUAUUCCGUUAUAGUUACAUGUCAUUGCUCCCCUCUUUCCAAGGUCAGCCGAACCAGUACUUGAACCGGUACUGGGACCCGUGCUGGUAGCUAUCAGUUCGCUAGGGGUGAAUUGGGUGGCUCACCCCGGUUUAAUAGGC